GAAAACCCUUUCGAGGAGUAUGCUAAGACGAAAGGUUCUUUUGAGCAUUUGAAAAUAUAAGAAUUUUGCUAAGUGUUAUUUGUUAAUUUCGGUUGGUGACCCUUUACAAUUAUUGUGGAAAUUUGGGCUUUGCCCUUAGAUGAUACCCGAGUUCAUUCCACCGACUGUUACCUUGACGACGGAGACGUCGUUAGACUUCCCUGAUCGAGACUCGCCGACU
RNAcentral lists this long non-coding RNA (220 nucleotides) under Cicer arietinum (chickpea). Its description in RNAcentral is "long non-coding RNA (CARI_LNC000709)". Lineage: Eukaryota; Viridiplantae; Streptophyta; Magnoliopsida; Fabales; Fabaceae. The record is from RNAcentral.